UCUAGAACCUGAGAUAUGGAUUAAACAUUGAACAAUAUCUAGGCUGUAGGACAGAUUCAAACUUCUCUUUUGAUGCUAAGAUUUGGACUCCAAAACAGCAGAAUUAAGUCUUGGACUCUUCAUGAAUAUUUUAGGCCUAUAUCUUAGCUUUCUAUC
Non-coding RNA from Populus trichocarpa (black cottonwood), 156 nucleotides. NCBI's taxonomy places the organism in Eukaryota, Viridiplantae, Streptophyta, Magnoliopsida, Malpighiales, Salicaceae. The record is from Rfam.